RNAcentral lists this long non-coding RNA (1240 nucleotides) under Bos indicus x Bos taurus (hybrid cattle). Its description in RNAcentral is "lncRNA (ENSBIXG00000010395.1)". Lineage: Eukaryota; Metazoa; Chordata; Mammalia; Artiodactyla; Bovidae. The record is from RNAcentral.
GCCAGUGGGACCUUCCAGUCCCUCUCAAAACCAUCUGCAGCAGUAGUCACCUCGGUGAUCCCCAUAAAGAGCUGGGUCUUACUGUGGACAAAGCCCCAUCAUUAACCUGUGCAUAUUUUUCUUGUGCAGCAACAGAAACAUGAGGUCGGUCCAGCCUGGGGCAGUUUCUCUCCAAGAGAAGAUGGAGGAAGCACAGCUAAGUGACUGGAAAUUGGACAUGCCUUCAUGUCAAGAGAUACCUGUACCUCUUGGAAACAACAAGCCCUUUGUGGUACCUCAGUGGGAUCAUCAGUGGGGCAUGGCCCUCUCUUGGACAACGGUGGAACUCUGGCAUUAUAUAGAUGAAAAUGAAGGAUGCAGUCCACGUGUGAGGGCCAAAGAGGCCUGGGCGUCUCCAUUUUCUUGAGACUUCCAAUAUAUGGGGGAGGGGGAGAGGAAUGCAACUGAAACAGCUUUAUAAAAAUUAUAUGUGUUAUAUUUAUAUGUUGUAUUUUUAAAUGUUUAUGCUGAGUAAAUGAAUUCUUUACCUUUAAGAAUGUAAUAUUAUUUGCUACAUUAAGAUUAUCACAGAAUUGAUAAAAUGGGGGUUAUACACAAUAUUCUCGCACAAUGGAACACAAAUUUCGGGUUGUGUGAUGCACUUUAUCUUUUCCCCAUUUCUGUCAUGCAUCUUAGAAAUUGUGUGAAUGACGUCAUUUAGAGAUAGUCUCUUUUUAAAAUAAUUUAUUUUGAUUGUAGUUGAUUUACAGUGUUUCAGGAGAACAGUGUGACUCAGUCAUACAUACAUAUGUAUAUCUAUUAUAUUUCAGUUUCCAGCAUAGGUUAUUACAAGAUACCAACUAUAGUCUCCUGUGCCAUACAGUAAGUCCUUGUUUGUUUAUUUUAUAUAGUAAUGUGUAUCUAUUAAUCCCAAAUUCCUAAUUUAUCUCUUUGUCCCUUUCCCCUUUAGUAACCAUUAGUUUAGUUUCUAAGUCGGUGAGUCUGUUUCUGCUUUGUAAAUAAGUUCAUUUGUAUCUUUUUUUGAGAUUACACAUAUAAGUGAUAUGAUACAUCUUUUCCACUUUGUAUGAAUAUAAAGUCUUAACAUGAGACGCUUUGUGAGUUUGUGUGUCAAAUAACCCUUUCUGCCUUUCCAUUUCCACCCUGUUCCUCUAUAGACCAUAGCUUUCCAAAAAAUGUCAUUCUUGGGCAAGUUACUUACUUUUCUGGCUCUUGUUCUCAUUCCUAAAAUGCAUGUGUG